GACGAACGCUGGCGGCGUGCUUAACACAUGCAAGUCGAACGGAAAGGCCCUGCUUUUGUGGGGUGCUCGAGUGGCGAACGGGUGAGUAACACGUGAGUAACCUGCCCUUGACUUUGGGAUAACUUCAGGAAACUGGGGCUAAUACCGGAUAGGAGCUCCUGCUGCAUGGUGGGGGUUGGAAAGUUUCGGCGGUUGGGGAUGGACUCGCGGCUUAUCAGCUUGUUGGUGGGGUAGUGGCUUACCAAGGCUUUGACGGGUAGCCGGCCUGAGAGGGUGACCGGCCACAUUGGGACUGAGAUACGGCCCAGACUCCUACGGGAGGCAGCAGUGGGGAAUAUUGCACAAUGGGCGGAAGCCUGAUGCAGCAACGCCGCGUGCGGGAUGACGGCCUUCGGGUUGUAAACCGCUUUCGCCUGUGACGAAGCGUGAGUGACGGUAAUGGGUAAAGAAGCACCGGCUAACUACGUGCCAGCAGCCGCGGUGAUACGUAGGGUGCGAGCGUUGUCCGGAUUUAUUGGGCGUAAAGGGCUCGUAGGUGGUUGAUCGCGUCGGAAGUGUAAUCUUGGGGCUUAACCCUGAGCGUGCUUUCGAUACGGGUUGACUUGAGGAAGGUAGGGGAGAAUGGAAUUCCUGGUGGAGCGGUGGAAUGCGCAGAUAUCAGGAGGAACACCAGUGGCGAAGGCGGUUCUCUGGGCCUUUCCUGACGCUGAGGAGCGAAAGCGUGGGGAGCGAACAGGCUUAGAUACCCUGGUAGUCCACGCUGUAAACGGUGGGUACUAGGUGUGGGGUCCAUUCCACGGGUUCCGUGCCGUAGCUAACGCUUUAAGUACCCCGCCUGGGGAGUACGGCCGCAAGGCUAAAACUCAAAGGAAUUGACGGGGCCCCGCACAAGCGGCGGAGCAUGCGGAUUAAUUCGAUGCAACGCGUAGAACCUUACCUGGGUUUGACAUGGAUCGGGAGUGCUCAGAGAUGGGUGUGCCUCUUUUGGGGUCGGUUCACAGGUGGUGCAUGGCUGUCGUCAGCUCGUGUCGUGAGAUGUUGGGUUAAGUCCCGCAACGAGCGCAACCCUUGUUCACUGUUGCCAGCACGUUAUGGUGGGGACUCAGUGGAGACCGCCGGGGUCAACUCGGAGGAAGGUGGGGAUGACGUCAAGUCAUCAUGCCCCUUAUGUCCAGGGCUUCACGCAUGCUACAAUGGCUGGUACAGAGAGUGGCGAGCCUGUGAGGGUGAGCGAAUCCCGGAAAGCCGGUCUCAGUUCGGAUUGGGGUCUGCAACUCGACCUCAUGAAGUCGGAGUCGCUAGUAAUCGCAGAUCAGCAACGCUACGGUGAAUACGUUCCCGGG
This 1343-nucleotide ribosomal RNA is filed under the name uncultured bacterium. RNAcentral describes it as "16S ribosomal RNA". It matches the Rfam family "Bacterial small subunit ribosomal RNA", at positions 28 to 1378 of the family's 1533-position model. The record is from RNAcentral.